AGCUCCAAUAGCGUAUAUUAAAGUUGUUGCGGUUAAAACGCUCGUAGUUGAACCUUGGGCCUGGCUGGCCGGUCCGCCUCACCGCGUGUACUGGUCCGGCCGGGUCUUUCCCUCUGGGGAUCGCCGUGCCCUUCACUGGGCGCGUGCGGGAACCAGGACUUUUACUUUGAAAAAAUUAGAGUGUUCAAAGCAGGCCUAUGCUCGGAUACAUUAGCAUGGAAUAAUAGAAUAGGACGUGCGGUUCUAUUU
This 249-nucleotide ribosomal RNA is filed under the name uncultured Ascomycota. RNAcentral's name for it is "partial small subunit ribosomal RNA". It matches the Rfam family "Eukaryotic small subunit ribosomal RNA", at positions 587 to 842 of the family's 1831-position model. Lineage: Eukaryota; Fungi; Ascomycota. The record is from RNAcentral.